This 460-nucleotide ribosomal RNA is filed under the name uncultured bacterium. Its description in RNAcentral is "partial 16S ribosomal RNA". It matches the Rfam family "Bacterial small subunit ribosomal RNA", at positions 338 to 795 of the family's 1533-position model. The record is from RNAcentral.
CCUACGGGAGGCAGCAGUGAGGAAUAUUGGUCAAUGGACGAGAGUCUGAACCAGCCAAGUAGCGUGAAGGAUGACUGCCCUAUGGGUUGUAAACUUCUUUUAUAUGGGAAUAAAACGUUCCACGUGUGGGAUUUUGUAUGUACCAUAUGAAUAAGGAUCGGCUAACUCCGUGCCAGCAGCCGCGGUAAUACGGAGGAUCCGAGCGUUAUCCGGAUUUAUUGGGUUUAAAGGAAGCGUAGGUGGAUUGUUAAGUCAGUUGUGAAAGUUUGCGGCUCAACCGUAAAAUUGCAGUUGAAACUGGCAGUCUUGAGUACAGUAGAGGUGGGCGGAAUUCGUGGUGUAGCGGUGAAAUGCUUAGAUAUCACGAAGAAAUCCGAUUGCGAAGGCAGUUCACUGGACUGCAACUGACACUGAGGCUCGAAAGUGUGGGUAUCAAACAGGAUUAGAUACCCCUGUAGUC